UUGUCAUCCUGCUCCUGGGUCUCUACGUGU
RNAcentral lists this non-coding RNA (30 nucleotides) under Homo sapiens (human). The record is from RNAcentral. Lineage: Eukaryota; Metazoa; Chordata; Mammalia; Primates; Hominidae.